This 726-nucleotide ribosomal RNA is filed under the name uncultured bacterium. Its description in RNAcentral is "bacterial SSU rRNA". It matches the Rfam family "Bacterial small subunit ribosomal RNA", at positions 8 to 702 of the family's 1533-position model. The record is from RNAcentral.
AGAGUUUGAUCCUGGCUCAGGACGAACGCUGGCGGCGUGCCUAAUACAUGCAAGUCGAACGCUUCUUUUCUACCGAGUGCUUGCACUCACUUGAAAAGAGGAGUGGCGGACGGGUGAGUAACACGUGGGUAACCUACCCAUCAGAGGGGGAUAACACUUGGAAACAGGUGCUAAUACCGCAUAAUAGUCGACAUCGCAUGGUGUUGAUUUGAAAGACGCUUUCGGGUGUCACUGAUGGAUGGACCCGCGGUGCAUUAGCUAGUUGGUGAGGUAACGGCUCACCAAGGCCAUGAUGCAUAGCCGACCUGAGAGGGUGAUCGGCUACACUGGGACUGAGACACGGCCCAGACUCCUACGGGAGGCAGCAGUAGGGAAUCUUCGGCAAUGGACGAAAGUCUGACCGAGCAACGCCGCGUGAGUGAAGAAGGUUUUCGGAUCGUAAAACUCUGUUGUUAGAGAAGAACAAGUAGGAGAGUAACUGCUCUUACCUUGACGGUAUCUAACUAGAAAGCUACGGCUAACUACGUGCCAGCAGCCGCGGUAAUACGUAGGUGGGCAAGCGUUGUCCGGAUUUAUUGGGCGUAAAGCGAGCGCAGCGGUUUUCUUAAGUCUGAUGUGAGAGCCUCCCGGCUCAACCGGGGAGGGUCAUUGGAAACUGGGAGACUUGAGUGCAGAAGAGGAGAGUGGAAUUUCCAUGUGUAGCGGUGAAAUGCGUAGAUAUAUGGA